This 124-nucleotide small RNA is filed under the name Marmota monax (woodchuck). Lineage: Eukaryota; Metazoa; Chordata; Mammalia; Rodentia; Sciuridae. The record is from RNAcentral.
GCUGGCGCAGUGGUGUACGCCUGUAAUCCCAGUGUCUAGGGAGGCUGAGACAAGAGGAUCACAAGUUCAAAGCCAAUCUUAGCAACAGCGAGGCACUAAGCAACUUAGUUAGACCGUGUCUCUA